Molecule: ribosomal RNA, 253 nt
Filed under: uncultured bacterium
Lineage: Bacteria
Description: partial 16S ribosomal RNA
Rfam family: Bacterial small subunit ribosomal RNA
Source: RNAcentral
GACAGAGGGUGCGAACGUUGUUCGGAAUUACUGGGCGUAAAGCGCGUGUAGGCGGACUGGUGUGUCGGAUGUGAAAUCCCCAGGCUCAACCUGGGAACUGCAUUCGAAACUGCCAGCCUUGAGUGGUGGAGAGGGAAGUGGAAUUCCUGGUGUAGAGGUGAAAUUCGUAGAUAUCAGGAGGAACACCAGUGGCGAAGGCGGCUUCCUGGACACCAACUGACGCUGAGACGCGAAAGCGUGGGGAGCAAACAGG